ACUUGGUUGUGAAUUCAAGAACAUUUGUACAAAAUUGCAUGAUUUUCAUCAAUUUCUUCAUUGGAUUUAAACAAUUAAAUUGGAAAAAAAGUACUAGUUUUUUUAACCGAAUCGAAAUAACUGAACGAUCAACUUGAUUCGGAUAAAAAAAAUUAAUCCGUCGAUCCACCACUAAAAUAUGAACAUGAAUAACUCAAAUAAAAAAAUUGAUAACUAAAAAAAAUGAUUGGAAGUUGGAUACAAUAAAAAUGAAUAACUCAAAUUCAAACCAAGAAUUGCUACAAACACCAUGAAAUUCAAUACAACAAUUGUUGCUGGCAUAAAAAAAAUCACAACCAAAAGAAUUCCCCCAAAUUCAAAAUCUAGGGCUCAAAACCUCAACACACCACCGAAAGCAAGCCGCCCUCGGCGGCGUCGCUCUCAUCCAAGAACAAAUCCUCCGUGCCCCUGACGGCGGCGUGGCCGCCGCACGCCACCAGCGCCACCACAUCCAGCGGCACGGCGAUUUUCCGCCGCAAUCGGCCGGAGCUGACUCCACAGGUAGCGCCGCGGCGGCCGGAGUAGACCGAAAUUUUGAGCUGCGGCC
This 586-nucleotide long non-coding RNA is filed under the name Salvia miltiorrhiza (redroot sage). RNAcentral's name for it is "long non-coding RNA (SMIL_LNC012214)". Lineage: Eukaryota; Viridiplantae; Streptophyta; Magnoliopsida; Lamiales; Lamiaceae. The record is from RNAcentral.